UGGGGAAUAUUGGACAAUGGGCGAAAGCCUGAUCCAGCCAUGCCGCAUGAGUGAAGAAGGCCUUUGGGUUGUAAAGCUCUUUUAGUGAGGAAGAUAAUGACGGUACUCACAGAAGAAGUCCUGGCUAACUCCGUGCCAGCAGCCGCGGUAAUACGGAGAGAGCUAGCGUUAUUCGGAAUUAUUGGGCGUAAAGGGCGCGUAGGCUGGUUAAUAAGUUAAAAGUGAAAUCCCGAGGCUUAACCUUGGAAUUGCUUUUAAAACUAUUAAUCUAGAGAUUGAAAGAGGAUAGAGGAAUUCCUGAUGUAGAGGUAAAAUUCGUAAAUAUUAGGAGGAACACCGGUGGCGAAGGCGUCUAUCUGGUUCAAAUCUGACGCUGAAGCGCGAAGGCGUGGGGAGCAAACA
Molecule: ribosomal RNA, 402 nt
Filed under: uncultured bacterium
Lineage: Bacteria
Description: partial 16S ribosomal RNA
Rfam family: Bacterial small subunit ribosomal RNA
Source: RNAcentral